GCGGCGGACGGGUGAGUAACACGUGGGCAACCUGCCCUGCAGACUGGGAUAACUUCGGGAAACCGGAGCUAAUACCGGAUAACACCGAAAACCGCAUGGUUUUCGGUUGAAAGGCGGCUUUUAGCUGUCACUGCAGGAUGGGCCCGCGGCGCAUUAGCUAGUUGGUGAGGUAACGGCUCACCAAGGCGACGAUGCGUAGCCGACCUGAGAGGGUGACCGGCCACACUGGGACUGAGACACGGCCCAGACUCCUACGGGAGGCAGCAGUAGGGAAUCUUCCGCAAUGGACGAAAGUCUGACGGAGCAACGCCGCGUGAGCGAAGAAGGUCUUCGGAUCGUAAAGCUCUGUUGUCAGGGAAGAACAAGUACCGUUCGAACAGGGCGGUACCUUGACGGUACCUGACAAGGAAGCCACGGCUAACUACGUGCCACCAGCCGCGGUAAUAC
This 447-nucleotide ribosomal RNA is filed under the name Aeribacillus sp. N09C003X. RNAcentral describes it as "bacterial SSU rRNA". It matches the Rfam family "Bacterial small subunit ribosomal RNA", at positions 95 to 526 of the family's 1533-position model. Lineage: Bacteria; Bacillati; Bacillota; Bacilli; Caryophanales; Bacillaceae. The record is from RNAcentral.